AAAGGGAGCUGGAAAGAAUUGGACUUGGAAAUCCAAAGAACUCAUCAAAAUAUAUUUCGAGGUCUCUGUCUCUUGCUCAACUCAAAAACCAUAUUUGUCAGCAAUAUCCAAAUAUUGAAGAGGAUCCAACCUGCUAUUCUCAAGAAAAUGC
Saccostrea cuccullata (small rock oyster) is the source of this 151-nucleotide long non-coding RNA. RefSeq lists it as uncharacterized. The transcript has 3 exons. The record is from RefSeq and is a predicted model, not a curated record. NCBI's taxonomy places the organism in Eukaryota, Metazoa, Mollusca, Bivalvia, Ostreida, Ostreidae.